UUUCUAUUUUGGCUUAUUGGGGUUAGAUAAAUCUCAAUAUCAAAAAAGUCUUUGGACCGUUUGGUCUAGAUUCUGAAAAAAUGAUUUUUAUAAAAUUAAUAAUUUUGGUUCGAAAAAGUGAUUUUGGUUAAAAAUUGUAUAACGUUUGGCGGAGUUUAGACAAAAGUGAUUUUUUUAAAGUAAUUUUGUAAACCUAUUUAGCAAGAAAAUUUGUUGUUUGCAUAUAAUAAUAUUUUACUAAAUUUUAUUUUAAAAUAAUUUAAAAUUUUGAAUUAAAAUUUAAAAUUUUGAAUUAAAAUUUAAAAUUUGUCCAAAAUUUAAAAUUUAAAUUUUGAAUUUUUAAAGCUAAAUAUAAAUGUUCAAUUUCAAAUUUAAAAUCUAAAUUUAAAACUUUCAAAAUUUAAAUUUUAAAUUUCAAAUAUAAAAUAUAAAAUAUAAAAUUUUUAGAUUUUAAAAAUAAAAUUGUCAAACGCGUAUUUUUAAGUUCAAAACAACUUCUCAAAAAUUAAGCCAAACACCCGCCGUUAAUUUAGUGGUGGAAUGAGAGCCUCCCAAACAAGUGCUCGUGCCAUGUCAUGUGCUUGAAGGACAAUUGUUUAUAAACUCCCAAACUAAAAGAUUAUUUUAAAGAAAAUUUACAUAAACUUUGAAUUUUUGUCUUUUUUUUAUGAAACCGUAGCAAGUUAUCUGAUUUUUUUAUGUUUUAAAAUAUAAAUUUAGCUAGAAAUAUAAAAUAACUAAAUUUUGAGCAUGGAAUCUAAGUUAUAAGCUAUUAAAUUCUUAGCCAAUUGCGAUAGAUACGUGCUAUAUGCUCUGAACAUAAGGUACAUUUAUUUAGUAUCAUGCACAGUAGGUGCAACAAUUUUUAGAAUCCGUUUGGUUGGAUGUAAUUAUAAAUACAGUGUAGUUAGAGAUGCAUGCAGUUGAAAAUACAGUACUAAUUGCAACCACAUCCAUCCUAUUUGGUUGGAUGUAGUAAAAAGCCCUGCAACUAUAAAUAAUUUGUUUGAUUGCAUACGUACAGUUGAGAAAUGAUUUUUAAAAUUUUAUCAUUUUAUAUAUAUAAUGGUGAGAAUAUUUCCAAUAAUGUAAAAAAAUAUAUUUUUUUAUUUAGAAAAUAAUUAGGGAAGUCAGUUUAUCUUUUACUUAAAAUACUCUUUCCAACUGCUAUAGUUGGGCCUCCUAUAAUUUCUACUGCAACAGUUAAAAUUAAAUAUAUCAAACACCAAAUUUGUAUUUGUAUGCAGUUACUAUUGCAGUACGGUAACAACUACAUGCAGCCAAAAGGUCCUUAGAUCGUAAAUAGCUGGUGUCUCGGGAGGUUGGCUAAAAAUUCUAUAACUUAAUAAAGACAAAUUAUAAUAAAUGCUUAAAUGUUAUAAAAUAUUAUAGACAUCUUUUCAAAAUUGUUAAUAUAUCAUGUUCGCCGCUACAAAUUAAUAAAUUAUCUUAAGAGUUCCUUUUAUUGCAUUGGCUAAUUAAAGUUUUGAACUUAUUUGUUCUAUUUAUACCUAUUUAUAAAUAAUUUCUGGCAUUAUAGAGGGCUAAUAAAUUAAGUGGCAAUUUCAAAAGUGCCGCCUCAAAAGUGAUAAGAUGUUACGAAUACCCCUUCAAUUUUUCGCUAUAAAUUAAUAAAUUAUAUCAAAAACACACUUAUGUCACGCUGACUAAGAAUUUUGGACUAAUUUAUUCCUAUUUGUACCUAAUUAUAAAUAAUUGCGUGGUAAUAUGUAGAGCUAAUAAAUUAAGAAGCAAUUUUAAACGGGCCCUCAAAAGUUGUAAAAAAUUAUGAAUACUCCUUCAAAAUUGUCAAUGUCAUUUACCAUUAUAAAUUAAUGAAUUAUGUCAAAAUGCCGUCCAUCAUGUCGAGUAAGAGUUUUAGACUAAUUUGUCUCUAGUUAUACCAAAUUAUAAAUAACUGUAUGAUAUUAUGUAUCUCAUUCAAAAAUAACUGAGUUUUUGUUUAUGAUUUAGUCUAUGAUUAUCUUGUUUGACUAGUUAAAUUUAAUUUGUUUUAAUUGAAAAUCAUAUUUGUCUCAUAUUGAUCUUAAUUAAUAAUUAAUUAAAACUAAAGAUAUAUCAUACUUUUUGUUGAUCAAUUUUCUACUUCGCCUAAAUUAAUGAUUUUUUUUUGCUGACUAUUUGUGUAGUUUGCUUUGUUCGAAUUAAUUAGUUUCAAUUUAAUAUAAAUUCAACAAUAUUUGUAAUUUUCAAGAAAGAUAUUCAAGUUAAUUAAAAAGACAUAGAAAAUAGAUGAAUGGCAAUAUAAAAAUGUUACUUAAUUUGUAUAUAUAUGGAUCACUAAUUCACUAUCAAUAGGGGUAUUUAAGAUGGUUUCUCUAAUUUGAGAGAUAUUUUUUAUUUUGACACUUUAGGGUGUUUUCAACGUAAUUAAGGGGUUGGAGGAAUGAUACGUUUAAAUCAUUCCAUAAAUUUAUUUCUUAUCCAAAAUAUGGCUCAACGAUGUUGGUUUAUGAUUUAGUUUAUGAAUGUCUAUAUUAUGACCACUUUUUAAAAUUUAAUAGCAUAUGGGUCUAACGUUAAUAUUAAUUAAUUAACAAUUAAUUAAAACUACGAUAUAUAUAUUAUUUUUUUUGUGAAUCUAUUCUUUUAGUUUUUUUAAUUAAAUAUGAUUUUUUUUUAUACUAUAUGUGCAUUUUAGUUUUCUCUACUUAAUUAGUUUCAAUUUAAAUUACAUUCAAUUAAUUGUAUUUAUAAUUUUCAAGCAAAUAAUCAUUUAAGUUAAUUAAAAAGUUAUAGAUAAUAUAUGAUGGACAAAAUAAAAAUUUUAUUUAGCUUUUAGAUGGAAUGUUAUCAAUAUAGAUAUUUUUUUUUAUUUCUUUAAAUCAGAGGGGUAUUUCUAUUUGAUUAAGGAUUAGAGGAAGAGUUAUGCACAUAUAUAUAAUUCUCGUAUCCCUUUCAAAAUGCUUUCGAAUUGAGCAUGCUAAAGUUGUUUUAUUCAUUCUGUUUCCAAAUUUAACGAUUUAGAAAUAUUCAAAUCAUAUAAAAUUUUGAAUUUUUUUGUACUAUAUAAAAUAAGUUUAAUAUUUUUGAUCUAAAAUUUGUGGCGUCAUAUCAUCACUUUUUAUGAACUAUUUAUUUCCGGCCAUUGAUUUGAGUUUUUUUUAUUACUAGAUAAAUGAUAUUAAAAAAUAACAAAAUUUAUUUUUCAGAUAUUUUAAGUACUUUAGAUUAAAUCUAAUGAAGCCAAUUAUUGAUUCGGAAGUCUUAGUAUCGAAAAUAAUUUGAUAGCAUGAUGCCCACCGUGCUUCUAAAAACACACUAAUCAGACUCUCAAUAACUAAAUGGGAACGUGCUCUUUGUGUACCGGGAAAACUCCUUUCUCCUUUGGAAUUGAAGAAAAGGAACAAAAUUUGAAGUGGAAAAAGAGAAUCAAUCAUCAAUCAUACUAAUAUAAAACCCGUGCUGCACGGCAGGUAGGUAUAUAGUAUUUUAGACAAUUAAGGUAUAUAUAUAUAUUAAAAUUUUAAAAUUAAAAAAUAUAACUAAAAAAAUACAAAACAAAGCAAAACUAUAAAGUAGUUUUAUCUAUUUUAUUAAUAUUUUCUUAACUUACAUCAUUUGUAAAGUUAAAUUAUACUAGUAAUUUUGCUUAAAAUAUUAAUCAAAAUUUUAGUUUUAAUAGUUAUUUUAUUAAUAAAUUUUUUCCUAAAAGGUUAAAAUUGGAGGAGUUAUUUCAAAUUGAAAAAUAAAUGAGAGUGUCUUUUCCUUGUUAAGAUUGAUUGAAGGAAGAGAAACUAUUAUAUACAACUACUCUAUACAUCGCAACUUAUAUUAGAUAAUUAUUAUUCUAAUAUUAAAUUUUAUUUAAAUAUAUAAUAUCUAUAAAGCCUAAUAAUUUAAAUUAUAUUUGAUGAACUUUUUAAAAUUUUUAUUAAAAGAUUUUAACCAUGUAGUGUAUGUUUAAAUAUACACUUUGUGUAGAGAAUAUUUAAUAAAAUAUAUUCAUAAAUUUCAAAAAAAAGAAGAAAUAUUUGCUUGCACCUGGUGCUUACUAGUGCUUCCGCACAAAUUAAAUAUUAAAUAAUUGACAAAAUAUUUAAUAAUUAAUAUUACAAAAUAUAUAGUCUGUUUAUUGUGAAUGGCGGGCGUCCAUAAGUAUGCCAUCAUUAGCUAAAGCAUGGCUAUCUCACGAAAGUGUUUUGUUGAUGUGACUGACACCUCUCUCUCUCUCUCUCUCUCAAAACGGAGCCCGCCAUAUUUUUUUUUUUUUUUUCAAGGGUUGAGAUGGACGCCGCGACACACGCGGCGCCCUUCUGGCACCGUGCCCAAACAAAUUUGUUUGGACACAGUGCCCGGGGGGUGGGGACAUGAUAUAUAUAUACCAAACUAAGUUGGAUAGAUGUAGAGAGAGUAGAGAAGAGAAGAGUAGAGAUGGGGAGGAGACCUUGUUGUUCUAAGGAGGGACAAAAUAAAGGAGCAUGGUCGGUUUCUGAAGAUAAGAUGCUUACCGAGUACAUCAAGCUUCACGGUGAAGGAAAAUGGAGAGAUCUCCCAACAAGAGCAGGUGAGAGAUCGAGAUCAAGGUUCAGUUAAUUAAGCCAUGAUUCGCCUUAGCUUGUACUUUGCCGGCUUUUUAUAUAUUAAUUGUUUCGCUAUCGUUUCAUGAUGAUCGAUCAUGUUUCGUAACAAUUAAUAUAGGAUUAAAGCGAUGUGGGAAGAGUUGUCGCCUUCGAUGGAUGAAUUAUUUGAGACCCGGUAUCAAGAGGGGAAACAUUUCUGACGACGAAGUGGAGCUCAUCAUCAAACUCCACAAGCUCCUUGGCAACAGGUAGCUUAUAACUCAGCCUCUCUUCACAAAAUAUAUCAUUUUAAUGCAUACGUACGCUCUAUCUUCAUCAAUUGAUCUUUUGCGUAGAUGGUCCCUAAUAGCAAGGAGACUUCCAGGACGAACAGACAAUGAAAUUAAGAACUACUGGAACACAAACCUUAGCAAAAAGGCAGAGCCCCGACAGACUCUGCACAACUCGAAGAGAAGAGAUGGUAAUGUAUUGGACUCAUCGGAAGCAACUGCUACAGCCGACAAACAGUCCCAUCAAGUUAUCCGAACCAAAGCAGUGAGGUGCACCAAAGUUUAUCUCCCGACGCUACAAGAUCUAGAUGAUUACGCAAAGCCAAACAAUGAGAAUAUAGCUCCUCCGAGCAACGAGACACCAUCUUCUUUCUCGCUUCCUCCACAUGCCGGUUCGAUCGAUCUGUUCAUGGACUUCGACAUGGAAGAGCUCAUGUCGAGCUUCGCGGAUGAUGGAUUCUAUAGUCUAUGCAACAACAACGAGGACAAAGACGACGGCAACGCGAUCGGUUCUUAUGCCGGUGAGGAUUCGCUUUGGUUUAGCGAAACCAUCCAAGAAGAGUGGAGAGAAAACAAUGGCACAGAUCAUGACGAUUUUGCAUGUAUUUGAGAUUGCAAGUAAUUCAGCAUGCAGCUUCUUUACUAGACUCUUGAAAGAAAUUAUAUGAUGGCAUGGUAAAAUAAAAAAUACAGCUUGUACACUUCAAAAGAGGUGCAAAUUUUGCAUCUCCAUUCUAGUAUUUAUAAAAAAUCAAAUAAUUUUUAAUAAAAACAAAAAAAGGAUGAUGUGGUAAAUAAAAAAACUAAUAACUUUUGGAUAGAGUUGAUGAAAAAUUACAUCUACUUUAGAGUGUACCGAUAGCACUGUUUAUGAUAAAUCAGAUAAAGCCUUUUUAUUUCGAUGCAUGCAAUAAGCCUCAUCAAAUAUUUGUAAUGUCAAAUAUAAAAUUAUUACUUAUGCUUUUCUCUCAAUUGUACAUGUGACUAGUUUUGCUUGCGCAUGCAUGUUUCUCGUUAUGUAUAUACAAUUGAAAAUUUCUCUGUCCGUGGCCUUUGAAUAAUAUUUUUGUCGAAUUAAGAGGUCUGUUUGGUCUAUCUUCUGAAAAAGUGAUUUUAAAAAGUGAUUUUGACUUGGAGAAAUUAUUUUGGAAAGUUAUAAAGCGUUCGGCGGAGUUUAGAUAAAAGUGAUUUUUCUGAAAUGAUUUUGAAAAACUGUUUGGCAAAUUUUUUUUUAUAUUUGCAUAAAUUAAUAUUUUUAUUAAAUUUUAUUUUAAAAUAAAUUUAAAUCUAAAUUUAAAUUUGAAUUAAAAUUAAAAUUGUACAAUAAUUAAUUGAUAUUUUCAUUAAAAAUGUUUUAAAUUUAAAUAUUUUUAAUAAUUAUGAAUUUAAAAAUUAAAAAUAUAAAUAUAAAUCUAAAAUUAUAUAUAUUUAUGAAUUUUAAAAUAAAAAUUUUAAUAUAUAAAAAUAUAAAUUUAAAUUAAAAUUUUCAAACUUUAAAUUUAGAAUUUAAUUGAAAAUUUAAAAUCUAAAUUUAUUUAAAAUUUAAAAUUUUAAAUAUAAAAAUAUAAAUAAUUAUGAAUAAAAAUAUAAAAUAUAAAUAUUUAAAAAUAUAUUUAAUUUAAAAUUUCAAAUUUUAAAUUUAAAAUUAAAAUUUAAAAUUAAAAAUUUAAAAUUUAAAAUUUAAAUAUUUAAAAUAAUAUGAAAUUUAAAAUUAAAUUUAAAAUUUGAAUAUUUAAAAUUUUAAUCUGUCACGCCCCGAGCUCCGCUAUUUGUCGAUUCGACAUGCCGACAGACCGCCGAACGGACAGCUUUUCCUGGUACGUUCUAGGCGUCACAAUCUAUAUAAUGCAAUACAAGAGGUUCCAACCAGUAACAGUAUUAAACAUAGAUAGCAUAAUAUCAAAAAUAUAAAUGCUUAUGCUAUUACAAGCAUUCAUCUCAUCGAUUCUACAUUUACAAUAUUACAAAAUACCUUAAGUUAUCCACAAACUUAUUUAAAAUUUAAAAUUUGAAUAUUUAAAAUUUAAAAUUUAAAAUUUGAAUAUUUAAAUUUUAAAUUUUAAAUUUUAAAUAUUCAAUUAAAUUUUAAAUUAUAAUUUGAAGAUUAAAAAUUAUAAUUUAACAUUUAAAAAUUUUAAAUUUUACAUUUAAAUUUAAAAUCUAAAAUGUCAAAUUUAAAUUUUAUUUGAAUUUAAAAUUUAAAUUUAAAAUUAAAAUUUAAAAAUUUAAAAAUUUAAAAUUUAAAAUUAGAUUUGAAAUUAAAAUUAACAUUUAAAAUUUAAAAUUUAAAAUCUAUUUUUUCAAAAUUUAAAAUUUAAAAGUUGAAAUUUAAAAAUUUGAAAAUGAAUUUGAAAUUUAAAAAUUAAAAUUAAAUUUAAAUUUAAAUAUUGAAAUUAAAAUAAAAAUAAAAAUUUGAAGUUUAAAUCUAAAAUCAGAAUCAGAUUUCAAGAAGCAGUUUUUUCCUGCUUUUGAUUCUGGGGCUUUCAAAAUCAGUUUUCUGAUUCUAAAAAAUAGAAUCAGAUUUUAAAAAUGAGUUGCCAAAUGCUCUAUUGAGCCGAAAAUUACUUUUCAGCCCAAAAGUGCUUUUUAAAAGUUAGACCAAACACCCCCUAAGAUCGGUACUUCUCUAGCCCUUUUUUUGUCCAUGACACGUACUCAACGCCUUUUCAUGUAUUAAAAAUGAGGGUUUGAAAAACAAUACAUUGUUUGAAACUUGAGAGUAACUGAGUAACUAACAUUUGGAGCAUCCUACGUAAUUGAACUAAUUAAUAAGGAAAAGAAUCUGUCACUUGCUUAAUUUCCAUCGUAGGGACAAUUUCUUCAUGGAAAUUUGCUAUAGUUAGAUCGCAAAAUCGAACAAUCUGCAGGAUAUGUUAUAUGAUAAUUGUGAUUUAUUUUUUAAUUGAUUUAUUUUCUGGUUCUUUUGGUCUCAGAGAGCUUAGAUUAAUUAUUAGUCCUUUAAUGCAUCUUUUUUAAAUCCUCGUGCAUAUGUAUAUUCCACAAAUUAUGUAAUAAUCACAUAAUUAUUACAUGCAUGACAACUUUAUGUUAAUUAUUAGUAAUUGACAAUUUGAAAAGGGUCCAUAGAACUAUAAUAUUUGGUUGUUUUUUUCUUUUAUUUUUUUCUGGCAAACCAUUGAGAGCUCCUUUUCUUCGCCAUGUUUGGCCCAAAUUUACUCCUCAUCCAACAUUUGUGGUACUAUAUGCAUUCUGAGCACUCCAAUAUGGUAAUAUUAGAUCUCAAGAGAACUUGACACUCUCUGGGCUACUUUUAGAAGCGCUAAAGAAUUGAUGCUUCUAAAUCUUUGGCUCUUGAAUCCAGCAUUUUGACUGUUAAAUCAUGCACAAUAAAGGAUAUAGACCAUCAUGAAUCAUCAUUGUUGGUUUUCGAUCCAAUGAUCAAAAGCUCUUAUUCAAACUCCAUCCGAGAGCCAAAAAUUUUGUGCUGAAUUGUAUUAGAAUACUAUCAAUCAGUAGCAAAUGGGGUUUGAAUGAAAGUUCAAAUAGUAUUUUUCUAAACAAAAAACAGCAUAAAUUUAAAAUCCUACACUUUAAUUACUAUUUUGAACAGAUAUAAAAAUUUAAUAAUCAUAAUUCGACAGUACACUUUAUAUAUGUAAAUAUAUAUAGAGAGCGAGAGAAAGUUAAGCUGGAAUGUUAUCAGUAGUAAACAAGCUCUGUUAUCAUCUAGUUCUAUUUGAUGACGUUGAAUAUGAUCUAUAUAUACGACUUGAAGUAUUUAGAAACCAAAUUUCAAAUCUUUUCGACAUCAUUAGCUUAAACAUGAAAGAGUUUCGAAAUUUGUAACUUAAUGGUCGAUGUAAGACGUUUUCUCAUUUAACGGCAUAAAGAUAUCCAAAUCAAUUAAAUUUUGGUUAGAAAAUUUUUUAAAUUAUUUAGAAUAAGAUUUAUACUUUUAAUCUUGAUUACAAGACUCUUAUCGUCACUUUUUAAAAGACAUUUAUUUUCAGCCGUUUAUUUUUGUAUCCACUUGAUGGAAAAGAGAAUAAUAUCGAAAAAACAUGAAAUUUGGUUUAUAAAUGCUUCAAGUGCUAUAGAUUACGUUCAACGUUGCCGAUCAUCGAUUUGGCGACUCCAUCAUCAAAAAUAAAUGAAUGGAAACGGAACAUGUUUGCUACUGAUAGCAUUCAACUUAACUCUCUCUCUCUCUCUCUCUCUCUCUAUAUAUAUAUAUAUAGAGAGAGAGAGAGAGAGAGAGAGAGAGAGAGAGAGAGAGAGAGAGAAUUAGGCUACUAUACUAUCUAUGGUACCGGAGCUCCGGUACUACAGUCUUGUUUUCGAUCUUAGGGCGUUCAGAUUAACAAUCCACACCGUUAAAUAUGAUCUAGGGUAUAUGAAAUUCUUAGGAAUAAAAUUUUAUAGUUUUUUUCGACAUCGUUUACUUAGUAAAUAAAUUAUGUCAGAAUGGACGGUGGAAAUUGAAUAGUCUUUAAAAUUUGAGCAUAUGACUUUUAAAUUCAGGAUCAAGAAUAUUAACCUUAAUCUAGAUAGUUUAAAGUAUUUUCUAUCAAAAUUUGAAGAAAUUUAGAUUCUUCUACACCGUUAAACUACAAACUCGCCAUAGUAGCCAUUGAAAAUUGACAAUUUUGAAAUAGUUUGAUCAUAAAGUAAACUAUGUCAAAAAAACAUAAAAUUUUAUUUCUAAAAACUUUAAAUACCUUAAAUCAGUUUUAAUGGUGUGGAUAGUUGAUUUGAACAUCCUAGGAUUGAAAACGAGACUAUAGUACCGGAGCCCCGGUAAUUUAGAUAACAUAUGAGACUAGCUAGCUCUCUCUCUCUCUCUCUCUCUCUUAUAUUAUAUAUAUAUAUAUAGAAUUGAGCUAGAAUACUUUUAGAAGUACCAACCCCUUGGUGCUUCUAAGUUCUAGCCCUUGGAUCUACUCCUUAAUUAUUACUACGCCUGGAUCAAAUACUAUUCACCUACCACCACCUACCACCAUCAUCUCACCCUACACCUCUCCAUCCAAUGGUUAAAAAUACUAUUUCACCUACCAACCUACCACAUCAUCUCAACCUACACCUCUCCAUCCAACCUACACCUCUCCAACCCUUGGUGCUUUUGGGAGUAUUCUAGCUCAAUCUCUCUCUCUCUCUCAUCUCUCUCUUCCCCGUCUUCUCUCUCUUUAUAUAUAUAAUAUAUAAUAUAUAUAUAUAUAUAAUAAUAUAUAUAAUAUAUAUAUUAUAUAUAUAGAGUUGGGCUCUGCUGCUCUUAAGAGCACAGCAGCCCUGUGCUCCUAAAGCAUCAGCCAUCCAUCUAAACAGAUGGAUGCUGAGAUUGAGGAGCUUUAAGAGGUUAACCUCAGUUAGAUGGUUAACCAACCCAUAUUUUCUCUUCCUUUUUUGUUUUGUCUUUUUUUUUUCUUUUCCUUUUUUUUUUCUCUCUCGCCCGAGGGGAAGGUCACGGCGGGCCGGGAGGGGGGAGUGCUGCAGAGAUGGGGGGCGGUCGCGCGGAGGGGAAGGUCGCGCCGGGGGGGGGGGGGGAGGGCGGUCGCCGCGGGGGGGGGGGGGGUGGGAAGGUCGCGCGAGGGGGGGGUCGCCCGAGGGGAAAGUCGCGCGGUGGGUCGCGCGGCGGGGGUUGGGGGUGCGGGCGCGGCUGUGUUUGAGGAGGAGGUGCUUACCACUUCCGGCGCGCUCAAAGUUCGAGGAGCUCCGCGAUUCAACAGAGGAGAGGGAGAGGGAGAGAGUUGGGGAAGAAGAGGAGAUGAAGCAUGUAGAGAGAUGGAGUUGGAGAACCUGGGAAGAAGACAGGAGAAAAGGAGAGAGAAAAAGAGAAAAGAAAAAAAAGACAAAAACAAAAAGAAGGAGAAGAGAAAAUGUGGGUUGGUUAACCAUCUAACUGAGUUAAUCUUUUAAAAGCUCCUUCAAUCUCAACCAUCCAUCUAUUUAGAUGGAUGGCUGAUGCUUUAGGAGCACAGGCUGCUGUGCUCUUAAGAGCACGCAGCCAACUCUAUAUAUAUAUAUAUAUAAUAUAUAUAUGGAAUGUGUAUGAAGAGUUUUUUUUUCAAAAAGGUACUUAGUGUAAAUUAUAGGAAGGGGUGUAAAAUAAGCGGGCUGUCUGUGGCCCGCCCUGCCCAGCACGGCCACUUUAGCACCCAGGCCGGCUAGGCCGAGCCGGCUCUUCGGGCCGUACUGGCCACCUAUCUGAGGCCGCGACGGCUCGCACGGCACGGCCCGAAACGGGCCUGGGCCGUGCCGGGCCGAGGGAGGCUGACGCCCGGCAUGGCACGGCACGCUUAGCCGUGCCAGCCAGGCCAGCACGGCCCGAAACCCAGGCCCAAGGUCUGCAUAGCAGACCUUGGGAGAGUGAUUUUUGUCCAAUAGACUAAAGCAAGUUUGGUCCAUUUGACCGAAAAUCCAUCUCACUCUUAAAAAAAAAAAAAAAUGCAAUAUAUUAUAUAUAUAUAUAUAUAUAUAUAUAUAUAUAUAUAUAUAUAUAAUAUAUAUUAUAUAUAAUAUAUAUAUAUUAUAUAAAAUUUUAUUUUUAAAUAUAUAUUCGUUUUUAUUAUAUAUAAUAUUUUAUUUUUAUAUAAAAAUAUUAUUAUAUAAUAUUUUAUUUAUAAAUUUGUAAUUAUUUAUUAAUAUUUCUAAAUAUAUAACUCUUCUAUAUUAUUAAUAUAUGUUUAUUAUAAUUUUAUAUAUAUUUAAUCUAUAUAUAAAAAUUAUAAUAAUAAUAUACAUAGCAUAUUAAUUAUUAUAUUUUUAUUAUAUAGCCGAAUUUUUUAUCCGAAAUUUUUAAUUGGUGAACGUAUAAUAUCCUUAUAAAUCACGUAAUCGAAUAAUUACUAAAUCCGUUUUUUAGCCGUAUUUUUCAACGAAUUUAAAAAUUAAAAGACGAAUUUUAUCCGAAUUAUACCCGUACCGAAUUUUUGUCGAAUCCGAAUUAACUAACAGUCCAUUCAUACUAGUUAAGUCCGGCUUAGGUGAAGACACUACAACAAAAACGGUCUAUAGCGACACUUUUAAGUGUAGGUACAUAUCAAAAAAGUGCUGCUAGCUAAAAUUACCGACACUUUUAAAACGUGUUGCUAUAUGUGGGGUCGCUAGGUAUAUAGUGACAGUUAAAGAGUGUCUCUAUAACCUAAAAGAGUGCUGUUAAUUUACCAACAACUUAUUUAAGCAUUUAGCAACCGCCGAAACUCUAUCUCGUUGGCUGCGGUGGCGGAGGAGGACGACAGGAAUGACUCUUCGUCUAGAAUUUCAGUAGAUUGAGUGAAGAGAGAAGAAAAUAUGGUAAUCGAUUUUUCUUUUUUUUUCUUUUCUGUUUGUAAUCGGGUCAAAUGGACUGGGUGUGGUGGGUUGAGUAGAGUAAUCUUUUAUUUUUGGUUGGAUUGGGUUUUAUAUUUAGACAUUAGUAGAUGUUUUUUUAAGUUUUAGCAUAAAUGGGACACUUACUAAAAAGUGUCCCAAACAUGUGUCCUAACCUAAUUCUGUUGUAAUGAGAAAACUUUAACAACCUACUCCACAAAGACUUCAUUUAAAUAGUGAAUCUUAGUUUUCUUUUGCCUUCAUUGCUAUUCACAGCUUGUUUGGUUUUGAAUGCCAAUUAACACCAUUGGGAAAAAUGAUUGAGGCCGAAAAAAUAUAAAGAGACUGCAGAAUGUAUAUAUCUUAAUCGACUAAUUACGAUAUGCGAAACAAACGAAAUAACUUUCUAUUGUACUUUUUCAUCCCACGUAAUACAAUUUGCAUAUAAUUCCCAACAGAGCCUGCACAAUAUAUCUUCUGGCCAAUGUAGUGUAGUACUCCGGCCCAGAAUUAGUCAAUGCGCCUAUUUGGCGCAUGACCACAUAAAAAGGUCUUUAUGAGGAAGCUUCUUAAAGGGACCUUUCUCAAUAGACUUAAUUGCAUUAUACUACACUGUAAUUUAUAAUUUUUUAAAAUUUUCUACAUUAUGCUCUUCUUUUUCUUUUUUUUUUUCAAACACAACAUUCAACCUUUUUUUUUGUUUUUAAACUCCUCCACUAUAAUAAGUAAUAAAUUAUAAUUUUAAAUAAAAACUAUUAAAAAAUAUUGAUUGAAAAUGGCUGACAAAUUAUAAUUUUAAUUCAUUUUAUAUUUUUUUCUAUCAUCUAAUCUAUAUUUCUUAAUAAAGUUUCUGGAUUUUGUCUAAAAUAAUAGAUUUAACAAUUAUAAUGUAGAUUUAUUAAUAUUAUUAAUGGUAAUAUAGAGAUUAGUAAGAAAAAAUAGUUUAGUAAUGUUCAUGAGAAAAGAAAAUAGUACAAGAUAGAAAAAAAAAUUAAAAUAUAGUGUAGAGAUUAAUAAUAAUAAUAAUAAUAAUAAUAAUAAUAAUAAUAGCAUUGUAUAUUUUAAAGGGCUUUUCUUUGCAUUUAGCUCUCUUGGAAAAAAAAAUUUUACAAAUAGCCCUACAAAAUUUAUAUUUGCAAGAUUAGUCAUAUCCCCGCCACGCAAAUACCACGCAAGCGCCAGGUGAGCGUGCUAGAUGGUGUAGGUUAAGUUGAACACGGUGGAUCAUUGAAAUAUAGGUUGUAUAAGGUGUAUAAGUAUAUUGAACAUAAUGAAUGGUUAACCGUUUUUAACUUAACGUUACUAUCCAGCACGCUCGUGUGGCGCUUGCGUAGUGGGAAUAGGUCUAAUUUUGCAAAUAUAAAUAUUGUGAAACUAUUUGUGAAAAAAAAAAAAUUGAGAGGGCAAAACGAAAAAAAGUCCUAAAAAAAUAUAGUAUGAACAACAAAAAAUAUAUAAAAUAUAGUGAGUAAAAUGUAAUUAAGCCUUCUCAAAGGGCCGCGCAGUGUGAUCUGCAACUGCUCAGCCCAAUAGGCCCGUUUUCUCUCUCCGGCCCAAAAUCUCAUCCAACCGUCCGUUUGAGAUGAAACCUUUCUACACCGUCGGAUCUCCAAUCUCCAAAUCGCCAUUUAAAAGUUACCUCCUCUGUCCCUUCGCUCUCCUCCUCCCACAUAAUCUUUCUAGGGUUUUUCCCAAGAGCCCUUUUUUGCAACAACUGCGGCGGAUCGAUCCACCGCGACGACCAAAAAUGGGAACCCUAGAUCGCAAAAAGAAGCGAUAGGUGAUUCAUCUCCCAAUCAGUUUGCAUCUUUUUUCUUUUUUUUUUUUUGGAAUCCAAACCCCUUUUAUUCGCUUCUUCUUUAGUUAUUUUUGAUCGGUUUGUACCCUUUUACCAAGAUCAUAUUUUGGGAGGUCACAAGAUCAUUCUAUAUUAGCUACUUGGAUUUAUUUGAGUAAAAGGUAGAAUUUUGAUACAUUAAAAAGUUUGGCCCUUUAACUUUGACUUGAGUUAUUUCAGAAAAAAAAAUAUAUAUAGAUAAAAAUUAUGAGUAAAUGUGUUUUUUUUUUUUUUGAUCUAUUGUAAUUACAACUGCAAUGUUUUGGUCUCAGAUUUGUAGUCUCCGCAACUUAAACAGCGGCUAAAAAUUGAAUUGUUUUGUUUCUGGUUUCAGAAUUUCGGUCUGAAACCUCGAAACAUGUUUGUAAUGCUACAUUUCCCAACUUGUUGUUUUGGGAGCUUUGUCAUCUAUAAAGCAAAUAGGUUACUCAGUGCCGAAUUUGUGUCGGAAGAUGACUAUAUUUACAUCGCCGUAAUUGCUAAUGUUGUUAUGAAUUAAGUCCGAUUUCACGACGAAACAGCCGUUGCGGUGACAUGCUUUUCAAUUACUCGGAGUGUUGCGUAAACAGAGAUAGAUAAUUGCGAAUAUUACUGUGAAUUACAUUCGAUCUCGUCGAAGAUAGCCGGUUGUGGCAACAUGCUUUUUUAUUUUAGUUGUAAUGAUCAGUGCCUAUCAUUAUUUGUGCCGAGUAUGAAAUAUGCUGAGGCGCUCAUUUAAGAUGCUUGUUUUAAUUCAUGUUCUUUAUAAAUUCCUGAUUUUUGUUCCUUGUUUACUGAUUGCAAUUUCUCUAGCAGAUAUUAUAAUUAUUAUUCUCUUUUUUUUUGUCUGUGUUUUUGUGUGCGCGCAUGCGUGCAUGCAUGCAUGGAUGCAUGCCUCUGUAUGUGCGCACGCACGCAUGUGUGUGCAUGUGUGCACGUGCGGGCGCACGCACAUGUGUGUAUAUGUGCGUGCGCGCAUGCGUGCGCGCAUGAGUGCCUCUGUGCAUGCCUAUCUGUGUGUGUUUGUGGGUGCGUGCGUGCAUGCAUGCAUGCCUCUGUGCAUGCGUGUGUCGCAUGCGCGCAUGCAUGCGUGCCUCUGCGUGCGUGUGCGCCUCUGUGUGUGCAUGUGCAAGUGAGAGAUAGGUGCGUGUAUGUGUGCCUCUGUGCAUGCCUCUACGUGAACUGCACUAGUUUUGUUUUUUGUCUCGUAAGCUGAAGUUCACAUUUUGAACUUGCCUAUCAUCUUUCUAUCUGAGCACUGUUUUUAUCCUCCUUGCAAUUCUUUACCACUGCUGUGGGGUGCUUUGCUGAUGCUCAAUAAUGAAAUACGGAGUUUGUCAGGCUUCUAGCAUCUACUGUAUAUGCUAGAAGUUUGGAAUAUGCUCCGACACUUUCACUAAUUAUUUUCGACCUCUCAACUUCUGAUUUAGUGGACCAUCUUUUCAAUGUUGCUCUCAACUGAAAUGUUUUAUCUUUUCUUUCCGGGGAGAAGACUUCCUAGAUGAUGCAUUGUUGCUCCAAUUCUUUUAUACGAUUCUCCAUCAAAUAUUCUGUCUCAUAGUAUUCUAGUCGGACGCUAAUCUUUGAAAGUCAUUGGAGCUCUGUGUGCAUGUCCGUGGCAUUGUUUUAAUCUAACCGAGUUCUAAGCUGUUGCGGGCUCCCUUUUUAUGUGUUUUCGGGAGUUGAGCUAGAAUACUCUCGAUAGUAAACGGAGCGUUUUACUAUCGAGUUGUUUUCGAUGAUAAAGCUUCCAAAUUGACGAUCGGCUCCGUUAAAUAUGAUCUAAACCAUUUAAACUACCUAGAAAUCAAAAUUCAUGCACUUUCGAUAUUGUUCUUUUAUCCAUCUAGUGAACAGAAAAUGAAUGGUUGAAAAUGAAUAUUUUUUAAAAAAUGAUGAUAGAAGUCUUGUAAUCAAGAUCAAGAGUAUAGAUCUUGUUUUAAAUAGUUUAAAGAAUUUUCUAACAAAAAUUCAAUUGAUUUGGAUAUCUUUACACCGUUAAACGAGAAAACGUCUCUUAUCGACCAUUAAAAUUACAAAUUUUGAAACCCCUUGAUCAUUAGGCAAAUGAUGUCGAAUAGAUUUGAAAUUUGAUUUCUAAACACUUUAAGUGGUAUAGAUCAUGUUCAACGGAGCCGAUCGUCAAUUUGGAAGCUCUAUUAUCGAAAACAACUCGAUAGUAAAAUGCCCCGUUUACUAUCGAGAGUAUUCUACCUCAACUCGUGUUUUCGGUAUCGACUUGUUAAGUUCAAGUAGACUGUCUCAGAGCUUCAUAUAUCAUCUGUACAAUCAUUCUGACUCGAUGGAACCAGAUACUAUGUGAAAAAGUAAUCCCUCGUGCAGCGCACAUCUCGUCUGUGUUAGUAACCAUUGAUCUUACUGUUGAUGAAUCACCAUAAAUACGCAUGAAAAUCACAUGGCAGAUGAUAUUUUUCACAGGGCAGUUUUGUGUAUCUACUGUUUACAUUGUUCGAUCUCGGUAUUAAAAGGCAACCUUUUUAACUAAUUUACUCAUGCCACUGCAGCAGGGGAGCUUUGUGGAGAAGCUGUGAGAGGAAGAGAUGCAUUGAGUGGUGGGAAGCUGUUUAGCAGGCUCAGACCCAGCAAAACAAGCUAUAACUCUCCAGGCCCAAAAGCGGAUAGGCGCCGUGGCAUGUCGAGUUAAGAAACCGGGGCCGACACAACUGUCUCUCACUGAUAUACCCAAAAGGAUCGGAUCGAGAUUGCGGCCCUUCGGUCAGGCCCAAGUUCGAUCUUAUAUGUGGUCCAGCAGUUCGGCGAACUGGGAUCGUUUCGGCUUCUCAGAUAGCUUGAUACAACCUGAGGCCAUUUUCUUAAUAUAAUGUUAUGUGAGUAGAGUUGUUUGAGAAUGAUUUUAUCCGAUGAAGGCUGCAAUGAUAAAAUAAUGUGUGGCUUUACCUAUUUCUUUUGUUAUUAAACCAUCUGGACAUUGAUUUGUACAUGAUCUCAAAAUUACAAAAAUAAAAUAAAAUUAUACACUCUAGACUUCAAAAUUGAUAUAAAAUAAUUGGAAAGAAAAGAACCUAAAAAAGACUAACAAUUUGCGAAAAUGAAUUCAAGUUAGUUCGUUUAGAAUUUCUUUUUCUUUGUUUCAACUAAGUUGCAGUGCUACUGAAUUUUCUAAAUUACUGAUGGGAAAAGAAAUUUCAGUUUGAAUACAUUUAUUUUAUUUUAUCAUUUGUUGUAUAGUAAAUCAAAAAAAAGUUAUAAUUAAUGUAAGAAGAGGCAUUAUAGCAAUAUUAAUUAAAUAUUACUAAUAACAAGCGAAUUAUUAUCAAUUCCGAUUUUAACUUAUGGCAAUUGAAUGAAAGUCAUUUGUAUUAUAGGAAAUCCCACCUAAUCCAUUUGAGAAAAUUAUAUUUUUUUUUCAAAGUUAGGAGGAUGGAAACGCCAAAAAUAGGGAAAAAAAAUGUAUAAAAUUUAUUUGAACUGUAGUCAUUUUGAAUUUACUAUUUGACUAGUAAAAUUUUAAUUUUACUAUCUAUUUUUUUAUUUAUUUAAUUUGAGGUAGUUAAUGACAUUUUUGACUUCAAAAUUUAAACUAUUAUUUUACUUUAAUAAAUUUAUAGUUGUUAGAAUUGUAUAAAAUAUACUAACUAAACAUAUAAAGAUAGACGACACAAUUAAAUUUUGAAGUCAAAAUGCUAUUAACUGAGUCAAAUAAAAUAAAUUGAAAGGUAAGAUAGUAAAAAUCAAAAUUUUUGAAAAGUUGGGUAAUCGAUUUAAAAUGAUCUAUAAUUCAGAUGGGUUCUAUAUGUUUUUACCAUAAAGAUUUUAUAAGAAACCCUAGACCCUUGUCUCAAAUAUUCUGGGAUUCACUUUUCUACAUUUUUAAGUAUCUCUAGACCCUGAUUCAUUAUGUUGGAAAAUAAAAAAAACAAAAUAUUCUUAAACCCUAAACCAUAAUUAAUCUCUCAUGCAUUGUGUAUGUGGGUUGUUAGCUUUUGUGCCGAGAUUUCUUUUUGCACCCUGCUAGAAUUUUAAAUUUACUUCCUAUAAUUACCUGUAACUUUUGUAAAGGUUUACAGGUGUUUACUGCUUGGCUUGACUCGGAUCAACAGAAGAUCCAAAUAAGGAAAGCAAUUAAAAAAAAUAUACUAAAAUUUAGAUCUACAAACAAAAUCCAAGAUAUAUAUUGCACUAGAUUUUAGGUUAAUAAUGUUGGAUACAAAUAUUAAAAGCAUGGUUUUUAAUGGCCUAAGUUUUUAGUGGAAAAACGGUUGUUCACAUCGUUAAACAUAAUAUCGAUAUAGAAAAAAUUAUGACACGGUUGAACAUGGUAUCAAUAUAGAAAAAAUUAUGUUUGAAUCGCACCAAAAUAUCUCAAGUCCAAACGUAAAGUGUGCGAGAAUUUUGAAUAUAAAUAUUAAAAAUACUAUCCAUGAUUAGUUUAGUAAUCGAUUUGUCGAUUUGUCGAGUCAAUCGGUGUACAUAGUUUUACUCAUAAUUAUCUACAAUGAGCUUCUAUACAGCCUCAAGGGAGUUAGUGUUUGCGUCUUUAAUUAGUUUUACUCAUAAUUAUUUUUCUAUACAGCCUCAAGGGUAGGCUUCUAUACAGCCUCAAGGGAGUUAGUUUUACUCAUAAUUAUUUUUCUGUCUCUUUUUCUUUCGUUCCUCGAGUUUCAUCCCAAGAAGCUGUAGAGCAAAUUUGAAUGACAAAAAAAACGUGUUGUUUUUCUUUUUUUUUCCUUCUUUUUUAAGUUUAGCUAGACUCUUCUUUAUGUGCAUGUGUGCAUCAUUACCCAGCCCCCAUGAAACUACACCACCCAAAAAAAAAAAAAAAAAAAAAAAAAAAAGUUCUAUUAUUUCUCCUUGUCAAAAGUGCUUUCCCAAAACGCGACAGGGCUUCGACACAAAUGGAGAAAGGUUGAUCAUUAAAGAUCUCUAAGCACCAACUCCCAUAACUAAUCCCAUAAUCACCACCACACUACUCAUAUUGCCCAUACCUACUUGUAAUUAUCAUUCAUCAAUGUUAUCAUUCACCACCCCCCUCCCCAAAAACAAAAGUAAUUAUUAUCAUCAAUAUCAAUAUUGUGGCAUUAAUCCUCUCCACUUUGAGAAAAAGUAAUCUAUCAGCUUCUCUAUAUUCACAGCUCACCUUUGUUCUAUAAAAUCAUAAGCUAUAUAUCAGAGAGAAAAUUAAAUAACGGAGUUUAGCGGGACUAAGACUCAGAACUUUCUACUCUAAUAUGAUAUUAAAUUAUUUGAACACUAGCUUUUAGUUUCAUGCAAAAAUAGUUGUAUUCAAUCAAAGGUACAAGAAUAUGAUUUUUCUUUAACAUUAUUUUAACACGAAACUAUAUACAUCAUAUAAUUCUUAAUUACGACAUUAUAACAACUUAUAACGGACCCCAAAAUUUGAAACUAUAUGAGAUGAUAAAAGAUCCAAUCGAUGAUAGUAUUAUAAUUUAAAGUGGGAAUGAUAUACGAAAGGAAUAUUGUUCUCAUACUUUAUGUAACAUAAAAAUAUUGAAUUAGAUGCUGUUCUUAUAUAGAAUAACUGUUAUACGGAAGAUCUCUUUAAUUAAAAAAAAAUAUUAUCAUCAUUUAUAAAGCUUAUUAGGAAUGAUUACGAAAAAACAAAUCUGAUGUGGCAUACAAUUGAAGUGGAUAAUGAGUCAUGUGUCCCUUCCAACAGCUUAAGUUCUCUUGGAGCUUGACUUGAAGUUGAAAGUGAGUAGGAGAGGAAAAAGGGGUUCAAGGAAAAAGAUUUGACCUUGAGGAGUUCAUGCUUGGUAUAUAUUAUUAAAAGCUUAUACUUAUGUUAAAUGGUUUGAGUGGCCAAGUGAUCAUUUCCCCCCCCCUCCGCCCCCCUUUUGGGGGUUUAAUUUUAAAUAAAAACAAGGGGGAAGAUCAGGGAAGUUGCUUCUGUGAUGGCUUGCUCAACUCCCUAUUUUGCCCUUCAAUGAAUCUUCUCUUUUUUCCCUUUUCUUAUGGUCCAUUAAUUUAAUGCAGGACAAAAGUAUAGUGAUAUGUUCUUGUGUUUUUCUAUGGGAGCGUAUAGAAACAUCAUAUUUGAUUUAGUUGGAUCAAUGUGAUUAUCUCGACAUGUUAUUAUUGUUUUCUAUCGAGCGCAUUAAAUUUUCUCUUGGUUUCAAAUUAAUAAAAUCGUAAAAUCAUAAUUACGGGCAUGCACAUGAUCAUCAUGGUUAUAUAUUGGGCUUUGAGAACAAUAUAUAGUGGGUAGUAUAAUAUGAGUUUUGAUUUGGGUGCCCUUUAAGAGUAGUAAAAUAACUAUGAAUGAAGUGUUCAAUUGACGCGUGCUAAGUACGAUUUCGGAAUCUCGUGUGAUCAAUAUAUAUAUAUAUAUAUAUAUAUAUAUAUCGUUGAGCUAGAAUAAUCUCAAAAGUACCAAGGGGUUGGUGCUUUUGAGUUUUUAGCCAUUGGAUGAUGUAGGGUUGAGAUGAUUAUAGUAGGUAGUGCUAGGUGGAAUAGUGUUUGAUCCAAAAGCUAUUAGUGAAGGAGUAGAUCCAAUGGCUAGAAACCUAGAAGCACAAGGGGUUGGUGCUUCUAAAAGUAUUCUAGGUCAAUUNUUGUGGGCAAAGUUGCAGAAUGGUAUCAGCCAUACACCUUAUGUUUUUCUCCGACAGGUCGAAUUUCCCAUAAGACUGCAUAAGCAAAAGAUUGGUCUUUUUUUUUGUUGGUUUAGCUUUUUAGAAAUUCACUAUACAAUUUAUUGACAUACUUAUGGCACUUUCCAUUUUUAGUAUUAGUAAAGUUUUGCAUUCAACUAAGCAAAAGAUAGUUUCAGAAACUAUGCUUUUGUAUUAAACUGAAAGCAUCUUUACAUGUCUUAUGAUUUUAGUGGGCUAUGUGUCAUUUUAGUGUUCUGCUAGUAUUUAUAAUUGUUUCGAGAAGUAAUUUAAUGCAAGAAGUUAUUUAAAUUUUUCUGAUUUCAUUCUCUUUAUUUGGUGUAGAUUCUGAGUAAAAUAUAGAAUGAUUAGGAAGUUGGAUUCUCUUGACGUCUAAUUCAUUGUUUUGAUAGGAAUUCUCUGGAGUAUCUAAACAGGCUAUCUCAACAGGUUGAAUCCACAGUUAUGGAGAAGUGCUUUCGAUCCAUCACUGAUCCAAGAAGUGGCAUUAACUUGAUUCAUAAUGUUGUAUACAAAUGUGGGUUAGCUUUGGCUAAGCUUUUCCUUUUAGAAAACAUGUUUACCAAUGUGUUAGUAGGAAGUGCUCAGUUUAUAGAAUAGUUCUUUUGGAUAUUUAAUAAGCUUUUAUAAAUCGUACUUUUUUUUAUUGUAGAUCUAAUAUCCAUCUGCUAAAACACUCUGCCUUAUUAAGAUUUUCUUUGUUUUUUACUGUUAUUAUUAUGCUCAAGUUUUUCUCUAUGUCACUAUGCUUAAGUUUUUUUUAGGGUGGUUUUCGUAUUCAUAAGUUAAGAAUUUUUAAUAAUUAUGAUGUUCAUCCUCAUGUGUUGUUUGUGGAUUUAGUCUUUCUUAUCUACUUUGAUUAUUACUUAAUUAUCUUUGUUAUCUUUAUUUGCUUUUCAAAAUUGGUUUUGGUAAUUUAUUUUGCUUUAGGAAUUCAAGUGGCUUCCAAUUUAGUUAUCGAGAAUUAUUUUUUCUUUCACCCCUUUUGAUUGCUUUUUUGAUGUUUAUAUGAAUGUAGGUAAGAUCUACUACUCUGGACUCAUGGCUACCGAACAAGGACGCAUUUAUUCAAUGUAUUUAUUUGACCUUUGAACUUGAUAAUUUGCUCUAAGAAAUAUCAAUUACUCAAAAGAUCUUUGUGUCAUUAUCUGUCACUUCUUUUUAUCACGUCUAAAGUAACUUCUCUUCAUUGUUUGCUAGAUGCAGAGUGCUUUGCUACUAUUGAUUUUUGUACUACUGAAGUCGUAUAUUUUUGGGACAGUCAGUUAGUAAUAUUUUUUAACAAACUUUUCCUAUUAAUUUUAUUUUAUUACUUCAUUCUUUACUGACUAUUGCUUUUUCUUUGAGCCAACUCUUACAGGUUUUUUUUCAACUUCAACAAUUCUAAAUUUCAUUGUAUUUAUAGCUGCUUCUACUUUUAUUUUUUUGUUAUUCAAAAUUUUUUAAUUCUUCUUUUGUAUUUACCUUUUCGUCUUUCUUUAGCUUCUUUUAUAAGAUCUCAAAUAUUUUUUCAGAUUAUUUAUGCAUUAAAUUUUUUUCUCUUAUAGUUUUAUUUUUGUUUCUUUUUGUUUGUUCUCUAUGUUGAAAGUAUGAUAUUUAUAAACACAGUAACGAAAAUAAUCAAAUAUUAUAAUUUAAAAAGAAGGAAGAAAAAAAUUUAAUGCAUAAAUAAUCUGAAAAAAUAUUUGAGAUCUUGUAAAAGAAGCUAAAGAAAGAUAAAAUAGUAAAUGCAUAAAAAAAUUAAAAAAUUUUAAAUAACAAAUAAAUAAAAGUAGAAACAGCUAAAACAACAGUAGUAGGAGCAGCUAUAGAUACAAUGAAAUUUAGAAUUAUAGAAGUUGAAAAAAAACUUGCAAAAGUUGGCCCAAAGAAAAACUAAUAGUCAGUAAAAAAUAAAGUAAAUAAUGAAAUAGGAUUAAUAAAAAAAGUAUUAAAAAAUGUUACUAACCGACUAUUUCAAAAAUAUAUGAGUGCAAUAAUACAAAAAAUAAUAGUAGUAAAAUAAAAACACAAUAUUCUUUUGCAACCCAAGUAUGCGGUAGAAGAAAUAAUAGCAACAACAGAUCAAGUGGAGCAGAAACUUACAAAAUUGAUUAGAAUAUAUAGGUUGCAGAAUUUAUAGUCAAAAAAAUAAUUUUAAACAGAAAUAGUAAAAUAAUAUCAUCACAAUAAUUGAAAAAAUAAAAUAUUCAACAAACAAAUGAAAAAAAUAAUAUCAGCAGAGAAAUAGAGAUUUUUAUCGCAAAUAAAAAUUUUAUAGAGCCAUAUUAUAUAGGCAAAAAAAAAUCGCAUUCAAUGUAAAAUGUCCCUUCGGAUUCAAAAAAUACAAAUAUUCGAGAAGUCGAAGAGAGUGUAGAGAAUGAAUUCGAACCAUUUUUGCAACCAGAGGGGGAUUAAUCGGCAGGAACCAAGCAUUGCUAACAAAGAACGCGCGACGGAAAGAAUAACCGACAAUGAACUUGGUCCAAUUUUCUGUCUAAAGAAGACGCAUUAGAAGUUAGAGAGACAUCUAGGAAGGUGAGCGGCAUCUAAGGAGGUAAUUUAGUAUGACAAAGUCCCACAAAAAUACAAAAUUAAGCUAAUAUUGCCAUGUGGACAAAAGGGUAAGGAUUUUCAUAGGAGUUUAUAGAUAUGAAGUAAUUAGAUUUCGAACUUAAAACUUCGAGUAUCAAGUAUCAAGCUCUUUCCACUUUUAUUGGGGAGGGUUGAUAUGUGGUUCAAAAAUUACACUUAACUAUUCUACAAUUUAGUCCAUUCUUAUUUUGCUAUCCUAUAAUUUAAAAAUUUACAUCUAAUUGUUCUAUAGUUUUUAAAAAAACUUGAUUUCCUAUCUUAUCUAAUGGUAGAUUUUUUUUUUGAUAAAAAUAAAUAUAAAAAUCAUAAGAUAGUUAAGUAUAUUUUUGGAAAAACUUCAAAAAAACUCCGUAUGGUUUCGCACGUUUUCACUUUAGUACCCUAUGAUUUAAAGUGUAUUAAGUUAGUACCCUAUGGUUUCGCACUUUUUCAAUUUAGUACCUUAUGGUUUAAAGUGUAUCAAGUUAGUACUCUGUGAUUUUAUUUUUGUAUCAAGUUAGGCUUAGUUUGGUAUUGAGGCGGAUCUAACGCUAUUAGAUAGAAUGGAGUUGAGAAAAAGCAUAUAGGGAUAUGCUUCUGCUUUUUUCGAUAGGACCGCAGAAAAUAUAUCGUAACCGACUAACUGCAAUAUGCGAAACGCAAUAUUACGUACGGAAACAAACAUGAUUUUUUUUUUAUCGUCGUUUCACACCGCCCGGAACACAAUCUCCCCGCAAUCCCAAACGAAGCCUUAGUACCAUGUGGUUUCAUUUUUCUCUUUUUAUUAUCCAUUCGGGAUAUAUUUUUCGUUAAAUUAACUAAAGGGUACUAAAAUGAAUAUCCGAUAAACCUAGAUAAGGUAUCUGAAGUUUUUUGUAUAUAAUUUAACGAAAUAUUAAACCACAGGGUACUAAAGUGAGAAAGUGCAAAACCACAAACUUUAAACCACAGGAUACUAAAAUGAGAAAGUGCGAAAACCACACGAUACUAAUUUGGUACAUUUUAAAUUAUAGGAUACUAAAAUAAGAAAGUGCGAAAUCAGGGUAUUUAAAGUUUUCCCUGUAUUUUUUUGAACUACAGUGGGUAAAAGAGAAAAUAAACUAAAUGGUAGGAAGAAAGUUAGGGUUGAUUUCUUUCACGUCCUUCCAAAAAGUUGCAAGUCAAAGACAAUCGUUGUUAAAAGAGGGCUCAAAUAAAAUUUCAAAUCAAUUUUAUUAUGCCAAAUAACAUAGUAAAAUAUUUAAUAAAAAAUAAUCUAAUUAUUCCAUAUUAAAAUAUUAUUUAAAAAUCCGUUAUUUUAAAUUUUGUACCGUACAAAAAAUUCAAUUACAUAUUAUUAUCCACAUACAAAAUAUAGAUUUCAAAAAUGCUACGCCUGCUUAUAUAUAUAUAAUCGGGAUGAAAUAUUUGUAACCAGCUAAAAGGGUUAUCAGCAAAAAUUUUAAGAAAAACUUUAAAUAUUAUCACUGUAAUUUCACAUUUUUUUACUUUAGUAUUCCAUAGUUUAAAAUAUAUUAUUUUUAUAUCAAACAAUUUUAUUUUUUUACUGAUAAAGUUAAAACUAUAAUUAAAGUACUAAGGUGAAAAUUUGAUAAGCCAUAUAAUACUAAAAUGAAUAUUUGAUAAAACAUAAGUAGAGUACCUGAGACGGUGAUAUUAUUUUACGUGGGGGGCGCAAUUGCAUCGGAAUGUACAGAAUCACUCAAUUUAGAUACUGCGUCGGGGCAAAACGGUAAAUGCAGGUGAUGAUGAGCGUGAGCAACAUUUGCGCGCGUGGAGGGGGAAGAGGACAAGGUGGUGGACUCUACACACACACACUCACUCACUCUCUCUCUCUCUCUCUCUCUCUCUCUCUCUCUACACACACACGUAGUGGGCUCAUCGCAUGCUCGGCAACUGAAACAGGCACGUGCGGGGCCCACCGCUGAGUUCCCGCGAGAGGAUACACACCCCUCGCCCUUUAUCUCUACUCAUUUUGUUGCAGUAUUCAUUUUUAAUAAAUUAAUUAUAUACUGGCCGCUACAAAUAUAAUAAAUUAUAAAUAUAUUUUGAUCAAUUUGUAUAAAAAAUUUGCUAGUUUUGUAUUUUUUAAAAGUAGGCCAUUUUUUUCGAUUUUACAGAUUCGAACCGGAUUUUUAGUAAAUCGAUAAAAGUAUUCUUUUUUUUUUUUUUUCUCUCCUUUUUUUUCUCGCGUUCUUUUUUUUUCUCGCCGAAGAAAGAGACGGGGGCGAAGGCGGAAACGGCUUCCAUCGUCUCUUCACCUCACGCCCUCACCCCCACCCUUGCCCGCGCACCCCUCGCCCUACUCGCAUCCGACCCUGCCGAAGCCGCGCUGCGACCCUCUUUUUUUUUUCUCUCUAUCCGAUCCUCCUCCACCUUCUCCGUAGCUCUCCGCGACAAUAACGAGAACUGUAACACAUCCUCUUUCUCCGCUUUCGCCCUCCACCUUCACUACAGCGGAUUUUAUACCCACCAAAUAAACUCGUCGUCCCCACUGCCGCUGCCGGCGAGAAAGAGGAACUACUUUUCGGGGCCGAGAAGCUCGCCGGUGAGGGAAGGAGCACGCGGCCCACCCACCUACCCCAGAAGGCGGCGGCGAGCGCGGCCUCAACAAUAUCAGAGGCGAGGAGGACGAGAAAUGCACGGAAGAAUCUCUGGAUUAGCACUUUUAUUUUUUUUUCAAAAAAAAAAACUAAAAGGCUAAAAACUAGAGAAUAAUAAGGAAAACAAGAGAAGAAGGAAGAAGAAAAUGAAUUUGCACUGUUAAGAUUAAAUUACACUGUUUUAAAAGAACGUUACACUAUUAUGGACAUAAGUUGCACUAUUUUAAAUAUAAAAUGCACCCUUUAAAAUAAAAAUUACACUCUUUAAACAAAAGUUGCACUCUUUAAGAGAUAUUUAUACUGUUUCUCCUCUUGUUGCACUCUUUAAGAGAAAAUAUUUACACUAGUUUUUCUCUUGUUGCACUAUUUCUUCUCUUGUUGCACUAUUUCUCCUGUUAAAGGGUGCAAUUUACACAUCAACACAUUAAAGGAGAAAUAGUACAACAAGAGAAGAAAUAAUGUAAUAAGAAAAGAAAUAGUAUAAAUAUCUACUCUUAAAGAGUGCAACAAGAGGAGAAAUAGUAAAAAUAUCUCUCAAAGAGUACAGCUUUCGUUUAAAAAGUGUAACUUUCAUCUUAAAAGGCAAUUUACAUUUAAAAGAGUGUAACUGACAUCCAUAAUAGUGUAACAUUCUUUUAAAACAGUGCAAUUUAAUCUUAACAGUGCAGAUUCAUUUUCUUCUUCCUUCUUCUCUGAUUUUCUUUAUUAUUCUCUAGUUUUUUGCAUUUUAGUUAUUUUUUUUGUUUUAAACAAACAAAAGUGCUAAUAUAGAGAUGCUCCCGUGCAUUCCUCGCCGUCUUCUCGCCUCCGACACCAUCGAGGCCGCGCUCGUUGCCGCCCUCUGGGGUAGGCUGGUGGGCCGCGUGUCCCCUCCCUCGCCGGUGAGCUUCUCGACGCUGAGAAGUGCUUUCUCUUUAUCGUCAACGGCGGUGGUGAAAACGUGAGUUCCUAUAAAUGAGUUUGGUUGGUGCAAAAUUCGCUGCAGUGGAGGUGGAGGGCGAAGGCGGAGGAAGAGGACGCGUUACCAUUCUCGUUAUCGUCGCGGAGAGCCGUAGAGGAGGGUCGAAGAAAAAAAAAAAAAAAGAGUGUCGCAGCGCGGCCUUAGCGAGGUCGGAGGCGAGUAGGGCGAGGGGUGCGUGGGCGAGGGUGAGGGCGAGGGCGUGAAGUGCAGAGACGAUGGGGCCAUUUCCGCAUUCGCCUCCGCCGCCUUCUUCGGCGAGAAUAAAGAAGAACGCGAGAAAAANAAAGAAGAACGCGAGAAAAAAAAAAAAAAAAGGAGAGAAAAAAAGGUAUAAGAAAAUUUUGAUCAGUUAACUAAAAAUUCGGACCGAAUCUGAAAAAUCGAAAAAAGUGGCACACUUUUGCAAAAGCGCAAAAUUAAUGGAUUUUUUAUACAAAUUGGCCAUAUAUUUUUACAAAGAUCAUAUAUAUUGUUUCUACAAUAAUUCUGAUAUUUUCAAAUGUCCAUGUCAUUAGAAUCCGUUAUAAAAUUUUUGUUAACUAUUUGUUAAAUACUUAAUGCUGAUUAGUUUUUGAUAUUUUUACUCUUAUAUUUUACUGUUAUAAGUUUUGGAGGAAUAUAUUUGUAAUUACAAAUUUGAAAAUAUAAAUAGUUCUCUUAGGUAUCAUUUGGUUCGGCGGUAAGCAAAAAAUGGAUAUUUCAGGAAAAAGUAUAAAUUGAGAUACAAGCGGGGAUUAGAUCAAUUUUGCGUUUAGAUGAAAAUUAGGUUAUUCCUGCGAAUAAAAAAAAACAGCAUUUGGUUAGAUAAGCUGGAAUAAGAAGUAUAAUAUUGAGUUUUUAUAAAUAAAAAAUAAUGAUAUUAUCCUCUUAUUAUAUUUGAAUUUAAAUUUUUAAAAUUUUAAAUUUAUAUUUUUAAAUUUAAAANUAAUAAAAAUAAUGUAUUAUAAUAUAUAAUAUAUUAUAUUUAUAUAAUUUAGUUUUAAUUCAAUUUAUAAUUUUAAUUAAGUUUGAAAUUAAGUAUUGGAAUAACACUAUUCCACCAAAAUGGUGGAAUAGCAAAUUUUCUUGCUAUUCGGGGAUAAUCGGAAAUAACAAGAUUUGACCGGAAUAAAAUAUCCCGGUAAAAUAUCACCCCGUUUUGCGGAAUAGUCGGGAUAACUUUCGUUAUCCCCGCUUAUCCCCCGAACCAAACGGGGCCAAACGGUAAUAAAUCAAAGGAAUAUAUUUAAAAAUAUCAGAACUUUUGUAGGGACAACGUAUAAAAAUUGAACUUUGUAGGGGUAUAUUUGCCAUUUACUAUGUUAGCAUGAACCUGUAUGAAAUUAAUCUUUUUUUUAUAGGUUAAUUAUAUACAGAUCUCUACAAAUAUUAUGAGUUACAAACAUAUUUAUGCAAAGUUCAAUUUUCAUAUGUUGUUUUAUAAAAGUCUUGAUACUUUUAAAUAUGUUCCUAUCGUUAGAAUCCGUUAGAAUAAUUUAGCUAAAUAUAGGUUAAAUACUAACCUCUGGUUAGCUAAUGAAGUGAAUUGACCUUUUUAUUCCUCUUCAAUUGACAUUUGAGACUUUUAGAGGAAAAUUUUUGUGAUAACAAAAAAAUCAUUUCACUUAUAAAAUAGACAGUAUUUUUCCAAUAAUAAACCAAAGGGACAGAUUUGAAAACACUUAGAUUUUUGAAAAAAUAAUAUAUGAAAGUUGAACUUUGUGACAAUAUAUUUGUAAUUUAUUAUAUUUGCAGGACCGGUGUUAAAUUAACUUUUUUUUAUAAUUAUUUAUUAUCCUUUAUAUUAUUGUUGUUUUCUUUUUUUAAUUUACUUUUAGUUUGAUUUCUAAUUUUGGAGUUACCAAUCCAUGUCCGUAUUAGUGUGCCCCACACACGGAAUUGUUUCAGUUAGCAGCGGAGCUUAAUUAUAACGGGUCGGAUGUGAAAAAUACCCUUUAAGGGAUCAAAUUAGUCAAUUUAUGUUGGAUCUAAGGUGCACAUUUUUUAACAGAAGCUCUACAAAUGAGUCAACAUGUGCCCGUCAUCGAGCAUUAAUAGAUUUGUAUCGACGUGCCACCCAUUUUUCUCGCCGAGUUGACGAAAAGAUAGAGUCAGGCUAUGUCAGGUUUGAAUGCUCGUUGGAACCACACUCACUUGAGGACAAAUCAGAGUUCUUAUCGGCAUGCCACGUGGCCAAGAAGUUGACUUUAAGAUUGAUGCAUGUACUGUUCAGUUUUGAAACGCAUUUAACAAAAAAUAAGUAAGUUUGUAAUUGAUGCAAGUACAAUUCAGCUGUGAAACACAUUUAACAAAAAUACAAACAUUUGUUUUGGAAUCGAAUGCGAUGGCCAUAAAUACUCGAGAUGUGCCAUCUAGUGGUAGACAAUUUUUUGAAGAACAUUUCUUUUAAACGGCAGAUAUCAACCAUUAAAAAUUAAUAAUUUUGAAUCCUUUCGAUUGCUAGAUAAAUAAUAUCGAAAAUCGUAAAAAUUAUUUUUUAGAAACUUCAAAUACGUUAGAUCAAGUCUAACGGGACCGAUUUUUGAUUCGAAAAUUUCAUCAUCGAAAACAGCUCUAAAAGUACAGCAGUCCUGCUAUAUAUAUAUAUAUAUAUAUAUAUAUAUAUAUAUAUAUAUANNNNNNNNNNNNNNNNNNNNNNNNNNNNNNNNNNNNNNNNNNNNNNNNNNNNNNNNNNNNNNNNNNNNNNNNNNNNNNNNNNNNNNNNNNNNNNNNNNNNGCGUUAAUAUCCAUUGUUUCGAUGAUAGAGCUAUUUCAAAUUACGAUCGGCUCCGUUAAAUAUGAUCUAAACCAUUUAAACUACCUAGAAAUCAAAUUCACGCACUUUGAUGAUUGUUCUUUUAUCCAUCAAGUGAACAGAAAAAUGAUGGCUAAAAGAAUAUUCUAUAAAAAAUGAUGAUAGGGUCUUGUAAUCAAGAUCAAAGAGUUAAGUUUGUUUUAAAAAGUUUAAAGAAUUUUCUAACAAAAUUCAAUUGAUAUUGGAUAUCUUACGCGUUAAACGAAAACGCUCUUACUGACCAUUAAAAUUCAAAAUUUGAAACAUUUUAAUCUUAGAAAUGAUGUCGAAAGAUUUGAAUUUAAUUUCUAAACACUUCAAGUGGUAUAGAUCAUGUUACACGGAGCUGAUCGUCAAUUGUGAACCUAUCAUCGAAAAUAAAUAGAUAAUAAAACGCUCGUUAUACUGAUAGUAUUCUAGCACAACUAUUAUAUUAUAUAUAUAUAUAUAUAUAUAUAUUAUAUAUAUAUAUAUGAGUCGGCACUAUUAUCAUAGUGUGUUUCGAUGAUAAAACUUCCGAAACGACGACUCUACAGUAAACAGUUUACUUAGAGCAUUUAAACUUCUAGAAUCAAGUUCUAAUUUUUUCGACAUAAUUUACCUUAUGAUCAAAAGCUCACAAAAUUGACAAUUUUUAAUGGGCGGUAUGUGAUACUGCUAGUUUAACGGUUGGAAAAGAAUGCGAAUAGGUUGAAUUUUUGUUAGAAAUUCUAUCGACUAUCACUACCUAGAUAAAGAUCAAUAACUCCGAUCUUAAAUUGAAGGAUCCGAUCAUCCAUUUUUAGGAUGUCGUUCGAUUUUGACCGUUCAUUUUACACCCGCUUAAUUUUUUUUCCAAUAUCUCUUCCCUUUCUCAUUCUAACAACCGAUCAAAUUUGAUGGGUAGUUAGAAAGUUAGGAGCACAAAGACUGCUGUGCUCCUAAUAACACAGUAUAUAUAUAUAUAUAUAGCUAUUCUUCUAUAUUAUCUAUAGUACCGGGGCUCCGGUACUAUAGUCUCGUUUUCGAUUUUAGGGUGUUCAAAUCAACGAUCCACACUGUUAAAACUGAUUUAGAAUAUUUAAAAUUUUUAGAAAUAAAUUUUUAUAUUUUUUCGACAUAGUUUACUUUAUUAUCAAACUAUUUAAAAAUUGUCAAUUUUCAAUGACUACUACGGCGAGUUUGGAGUUUAACGGUAUAGAAGAAUCUAAAUUUCUUCAAAUUUUGAUAGAAAAUACUUUAAACUAUCUAGAUUAAGGUUAACAUUCUUGAUCUUAAAUUUAAAAGUUCUAUACUCAAAUUUUAAAAAUUAUUCAAUUUCCACCGUCCAUUUUGAUAUAAUUUAUUUACUAAAUAAACUAUAUCGUAUUUAACGGUGUGGAUCAUUAAUUUGAACACCCUAAAAUUGAAAACAAGACUAUAGUAUCGAAACUCUGCUACUAUUUUUCUGAAAUUUAACUCAAUUUUCAAACCACAGAAUUAAUAUCACCGCACUCGCAAAAUUUAUUUUUUCUGGUGGGAUUUGGCCGUAAAAAAUAUAAUACUUAUUUCUCGAAAAGAUUGACUCGAUAUUUAUAAUUUGAUAAGAUAACAUGUUUCGCCUAAAUAAUUAAGACACAAUUUGAAUUCGUGAAUUUCUUAUUUAGUAUAUCUAUUUAAUUGGCUAAAAUAUUUUGCAUUAAACAUCAAAAAUGGCACACCAACUUUUUAAAUUAUUUUUUUUCCGAAAUAAAUUAUAUUGUGGGUAAAAUAUGUCGUCCUUUCCAAUCAAACUUUUAUUAACGGUUUAUUUUGAAAACAAUUAUCGUUGCAAUAUUUUUAUUAAUAGAAUAUAAGGCCUUAAUAACAUUUUCACAUUCGCCCAAAUUUGUUCUACAGUUUAGUUGCACUUCGCGUCAAUCCAAUUGGCUCUCAUUAGCCCACCCGCCCCGCAGACAAGCGGGUCGGUUUUAAUAUCUCGUCACCUUUUUGGGACCCGAAUCCGGUGGGGAAGGGGUGAGGUGGGGCCCACCACGCUGGCUCAGGGUGGGGGAGGGGCCCGCUCAACCGUUACUCGCGUCCUCGCGCGCCACCCGCGCGCCACGUGGACACAGCGAGCGUGGCAAUUGGACAACGCGUGGCAGUGGUGGGCCCCACCCUCACUCACGCAUUCCACCCCGGUACACUACUACUAACUAGCACUACUCUUUUUGUAGUUUAUUUAUUUUUAUAUUAUUAAUUAUAUUAUUAUUAUUAUACGUUACAAUUAUAGUUUAUAUUUUAAAUUUUUUUAAAAAAAAUUUUAAUGCAGUAAAUCAAACAAGUACACUUAUGUGUAGGGAUGCAAACGGGGCGGAUCUGGGGGCGGAAGAGUUCCCCCACCUCCCGCUCCAUUUCUUAUCUGUGCGGGGCGGAUUCGGGGCGAGUUACUUUUCAUUUUAUUUUGGCUCCCACUUACCGUUCCAUUCAGGGCGGAGCGGGGCGGGAGCAGGACGAGAGCGGGGCGGGAGCGGAUUUUUAACGAAUCGAGAUAGAUUGAAGGAAGAAAAGAGUCUCCCGCCUCCCGCUCCAUUUACUUGGCGGAUCGGGGCGGAUUCGGGGCGGGUUAUAUUUUUCUAUAUUUUUUGUUCCCAUUUACCACCUCAUUAGGGGCGGAUCGGGGCAGAGCUCCACCAACCCGGAUCCAUUUGCAUCCCUACUUAUGUGGCUUAGCAAGGGCAACUCUUUAGAUAGAAAAAUGUCGGAUGAACCCGGUGUAUACACCGGGGAUAACUAAAACAUAAACCUGGAUUUAUAUCUUAAAAUUAUAUUUCUUAUCGAUCUUAAAUUUACAAUAACUCGAUGCCCACUAGUAAGUUCCCAAAAAUCAUUGAUUUUAAUGGAAUAUUUAGUUUCACCGAUAAAGCAUAAUUCUCUUUUUUCAAAUGCCGUCGAAAAAUGUUAUUAGAAAAAACACUGUUAUUAAAUUUUUCCACCAACUCCUUAUUGUAGCAGAAUAAAAAAUUCUAAAUGAAAUCUUCUACUUUUGAAUCAAAUUUUAAUUUUUUUAAUUAGUACUAAACAAAUAGUUUUGUAAUUUAUUACUUAAAUUUAAGAAAAAAAUCACUUUAGGUUCUAAUUCUAUUUUAUCAAAUGUUGCCAAAAAAAUGAUAUUGGAAGAAACACUAUUAUUAAAUUUUUCGAUCAACUCCUUAUUGUACUAGAAUCAAGAAAUUCUAAAUUAAAACUUCUACUUUUUAACUGCAUUUUAAUUUAUUUAAUUACUACUAAAGCAAAAGUUUUUGUAAUCUUAUUACAUAAAUUGACAAAAAAAAAAGGCAUACUUUAUGUUCCAAUAAAAUCAGAAAGUUUGAAUUUUAAGAUUUUAAUAUAUGAACCAUAGUUAGUUAAUUCGGAUUCAGCAAAAAUUCGGUACGGAUAUAAUUCGGAUAAAAUGCGUCUUCUAAUUUUUAAAUUCGUUGAAAAAUACGGCUAAAAAACGGAUUCGGUAAUUAUUCGGAUACGUGAUUUAUAUGGAUAUUACAUGUUCAUCAAUUAAAAAUUCGGGAUCAAAAAUUCGACUAUUAAAUUAAUUUUUUUUCUCUCAAAAUUUAUGCUAUUAGUAUAAAUACUCAUAUUUCUUAAAAAUAUAAGAAUAAAGAGCUACAAAAUUAAGCUAAUUAAAUAAAAAAAAAAUAGCAAACUAUAUUAUCCUUAUAAAUAAAAUAUUAUAUAAUAAUAUUUUUAUAUAAAAAUAGAAUACUAUAUAUAAUAAAUAAAUAUAUAUUUAUAAAUAAAAUUAUAUAUACAUAUAUAGAGUCCGGCUACGGUGCUUGUAAAAGCACCAAGUAUUUGGUGCUUGUAAAUUUUUUACCGUUAGAUCUACUUCUCUAAUCAUUUUUAACCAUUAGAUUAUACUAUUCAACCAACCACCCACUCAACCCUAGGGGGCCCACAUGAUCCUAAACGCACAUCCCUUAAUUCANACCGUGCACCAUCUUCUUCUCCUAACGCCGCGAUUUUCCAAUACCCAAACACCGUGCCAGUGCCAUUUCUAUCGCCAGCUCCCAAGUCCCAAACUCAAUUUUUUUUUCCAAAAUUUAUAAAAUAAUUUAUUCAAAAAAAAAAUUUUGGACAACCAUUGUUUGGUAAAAAAAAUUUUCAGCGAAAAUUUUUUUUUCGAAAGGAUUUUACAGUGAUCCAAAGUUCUGCGACGAAAGCGACGGAGGAGGAGGAGGACGACGACGACAAUGGCAGCGACGACGCGACCCGCAAGUCCGUGACCGCCGUUUUUUUGGGCGAAUCAUUCGCGAAUCGUGAAUGGUUCGCGAAUAAUUAUUUUUGAUAGAAAAAAUGCGUUUUUUUACGCAUUUUUUGGAAAAAUGCGGAUGCGGGCGUUUAAUACAGUUUUCUAAAAAUUCGUGAAUAAUUCGUGAAUUAUACGCGAAUUAGCUAACUAAGAUAUGAACAAGUAUUGAUCAUCCAUGACAUCAGAAAAUUUAAUUUCUGCUUACGAUUCACUAAAUGAGGCGCGUCUCAUCAUCAUCUUUUUAGAUUAAAAAAUAACGUAAGAUAACAUUUCUGAAGUGCUGAUUUACGAAUUUAAAAAUAUAAAAUAUAAUAAAUAAAAAUAUAGAACGCAGCGGAAGUAUUCGUUCGUACCUUUUUGCGGAAGCGAUUCGCGUUACAACUCGAUGAGCUCGGAUCGUCGAGGUUGAUUCGCGUGUCCUUUGAUCUUCCUUGAUUAAAUCUUUUCACGUUCCAAACUUGUGAUGGAUCGAACUAUAAACGAGCACGAUCACAAAUACACCGUUCAAGUCCCUCUUAGAAUAAUAGGUUGAUGGAGGAUGUGGUUUCUCUAUUUCGUUUUUUUAUUCUCUUUUCUUUUUCCAUUCUGGUUUCUCUCUUUCGUUUUCUUAUUCUCUUUUCUUUUUCCGUUCUUUUUCCUUUUGUUAUGUGGGAUCGCCCAUAUAUUUAUAAGGAAUUCCAAAAUCCUAAUAGCGUUAGAGAUAAGGUCAAAUCAGUUAUUAAUUAUUAUCCUAAUAUGACUAGAAUUUAUCUCUAACUAGUUUUUCAAUUUGAAAGCGAGAUUAAUUCCAAUCCAAUUAGAUAACAUAAUAUCCGUCAGAUCGAAUCCGCUUAUAGGCGUACCCGAUUCGAUUUAACCUAAUGCCAACAAAAAAUAGAAAAAAACAAAAAAACAAAAAAUUGGGUGUAUAGAAAUUGGUGCAAGCAAUAAUUUGUUAGAGCCCGCGUGCUUUCCCCGCACUCCCAUUCCCACUCAUUUUCCCCAUUUGUACCCGUUUCUUAUACUCCUUUUUUUUUUUUUUUUUCGCUCUUUCCUUUAAUUCCACCAACCUCUCACAAUAUAUAUGCAUGCCAUAUCCCUUCUAGAUAUAGACCACCAUAUAUAUAUAUAUUAAUAUAAAUAGUUAUAUUCCACCCUCUAUAUAUAACACUCGAUCCCUGUCUCUCAAUACACACUACAUAUAUAUACAUCUCUCUCUCUCUCUCUCUCUCUCUCUCUCUCUCGAUCUCGAGGAGUUAGACAUGGGAUCAGAGGCUGUGGAGGAGGUGCAUCAUGAUGAGAUCAACGGCUACGGUAACGGCGGAGCCAAGGAGCUGGGCGAAGAGGAAUGCAAAUGGUUCGAGGAAGAGAUCGACAAGGAUCUCAAGUUGUGCUACGCUUUGAACAGGUGAUGAAACUAACCCAUGCAUGCACCAUCUCUAUCUACCUCUCUCCUUGUUUCCGAUGAGCUUCGCAUCACGCACGUGCGCAUCUUGUUCUAGAUCUCUUGUGUUACCUCCCCUCGUGUUAAGACUAUUUCUGAACUGUUUGGAUCGGUCUUUUCGGUAACACGUCUUUUCUUUGUAUACGUUCGAACGAAUUUAACUCAGAAUUAAUGUUGUUCUUAUAUGUUAUCGUUUGCGAUGCUACAUAGCGUGCUAUGCAAAGGGGCUAGUGAGUAUCAAGAUAUAGCUUUCCUUGAUACGAAAUACUUCGGAAAGGUCAGUUUCUUUCCUCUUCUUCCUUUUUUUUUUUAUUCUUCUUUAAUCAUAUUUUAUUUUAAUCAUGAUAUUAUUUAUUUUAUUUUAUUUUUACAAAUUUUUUGUAGGCUUUGGUGCUUGAUGGGAAGAUGCAGAGCACUGAGGUGGAUGAGUUCAUUUACCAUGAGUGCUUAAUCCACCCUUCUCUUCUCCUCCACCCCAAGUAAAUCCACUUCCUUUAUUAUUAUUAUUAUUAUUAUUAUUAUUAUUAUUAUGAAGGUAAACUUCAAAUAUCACUCACUGGAUUCAUACUUUUUCACUUUUACCCUAUAAUAUAAAGUAUAUCAUUUUAAUAUUAUAUAGUUUUAUUUUUCUCUUUCCGUCACCACUUUCGUUAACUUUCCGUUAAAUUAUAUACAAAAAAAACUUCAGAUAUCCACCUAUAAUUUAUUAAAUGUUCAAUUUAGUACCUUAUGGCUUACCGAAUCUUUAUUUUAGAAUAUUGUGGUUUUAAUUUUAUUAUUGAUAUAACGGAAAAAUUAACGAAAAGGAUAACGAAAAAAAAAAAAAGCGAAGCUAUAGAGUACUAAAGUGAUAUAUUUUAAACUAUAUGGUAUUAAAGUGAGAAAGUGUGAAACUAUAGGAGUGGUAUUUAAAGUUUUUCUUUAUUAUUACAACUAUUAUUAUUAUUUCCAAGACUAAUUAAUUCUUUCUCUAUAUAUAGUAGUCGCACAAUAUGUGUGUGUCUGUUUUGUCGUUACGCCAAUUUCUUUUCCACUAUUAUUAAUUAGUACAUGAAUUCAAAGUUAAUUAAUUAAUUAUUAAUUAAUUAACCCGAUCUCAUUUUAAUAUUAAUUUAAUGUAGUCCAAAAAUGGUGUUUAUUAUGGGCGGUGGAGAGGGCUCCGCCGCGAGAGAAGUACUCAAGCACAACACCAUCCAACGUGUGGUCAUGUGCGACAUAGACCAGGUGCCCUUUUUCUCUUUUUAUAUAUAUUUUGGGAAUGUCUAGUUUCCUCUUCUGUUCCUUCUUUGUUGUUCAAAAGGUGGACUUUCNAUAUAUAUAUAUAGUUCCAAUUAUAAUUCUUAAAAAAAAGGAAUUAUCACUGCAUGUUACUUAAAAAUCGAUAAUUAUUUACUUACGCAGAUGUGACAAAUAUUAUUACUUCUCUUUGACAAUUGUGAAUAUUACGAUUUUCUCAAAUUAUAUAAAUUGUUUAUCGAGGCCAUCUCCACAAUAUAUAAGAUCGAUCGUCAAAUUCAACAUUUAUCACGUGGAGAUGAAUGGUAGAUUUUUUACGAUGGUCCUCAUAAAAGGUUUUUUUAGAUAAUUAUUGUAGAAUUUGAAAGCUUUUGCAAUUGUGAUUGCUAAGAUUAAAAAUAUAAGAUUAUUAAGAUGAUUAUUAUUAUUAUUAUUAUUAUUAUUAUUAUUAUUAUUAUUAUAAGGAUUAUUAACUCGCUCGUACGUUACGUUUACACGUGCCAACACAUCGUGACACGUGUGAGCGUGUGUGGACAAUGCAGGAUGUGGUGGACUUUUGUCGGAUGUACUUGACGGCCAACCACGAGGCCUUCGCAAGUGACAGGCUCUGCCUCGUCAUCAACGACGCAAAGUACGUGGAUUUAAAUUUGAAUUUAAAUUUAAAUUUUGAGUUUAAACGUUUCAUGUUUUUAUUUGAAUUCAAAUUUUUUAUGUUCAUGGUACCGAGUCAAAAAAAAAAAAUUCCCCUUUUUGUUUUGGCGGAGAGGGUUUCAAGCCCCGAAAAUCGUAGAUUCGAACUCAAAAUUUCGAAUUCUGCACCUGAAUAGCUUACACACCUAGCUAGGUUCAAAUUCGAGUGGGAAUGUUUAGUUGUUGUUUUAUAUGUGGUGAUUAAUAACAUGCAUGCAUAGAUUACAAUUUUUGGGUACUAUUUUACGAUAUAGAUGGUCCGAAAUCUCCUAACAUAUUAAUGAAUUAAAUUCAUUUUUAUUAAUUUUGUAAGGUACCAUCUUCUAUCAUGCUGAUUUUUGGGUAUAUUAAUAUUUACACUCGUGUUUUCCGUCGUGUUGAUAUUUGGGUAUAUGUUAAGCUAUAUAAAACAAUCAUAAUAUAUUUAUAUUCAAUACUCUUUCUCACAAGUAAGGUUCGAGACUUUUUUAUUACUCUAAGACGUGAGCUCAAUUUAAAUAAAAGAAAAUUAAAUAAGACGAGAGACCUGACGUGACUCAAACUCAUAAUCUUUUAUUUUGAAACCAUGUUAAAAUAUAAAGUAACAAUUGUUCCCUAGAAUCUUAAGUUACUGUAGAUUGAUGUUUUAUAUUUUUAUAAGCGACAGUGCAUGACACUAUCGAAUUUCUACAUUUGUAGGUUUUUGAGUUCUUGAUUACAAGGUGAAAAUGUUUACAAAUUCUGAGUAGGAAUUGAUUAUGAAAUAUUGCAAUGUGAAUAGUUUCUACACCAGUAACUCGGAGUCGAAUUGAGGACUCUUUUUCGACUCUUUUUUCGUGUUUAUUUCGCUACCAUUUUGGUCAAUCAAAAGUGCACAACAUUACAGGAAGGAGUUGGAGAACAGGGAGGAGAAGUACGACGUGAUCGUCGGCGACCUCGCUGACCCCGUCGAAGGCGGGCCGUGUUACCAGCUCUACACCAAAUCCUUCUAUGAAAAUGUGAUCAAGCCCAAGCUCAACUACCAAGGCAUAUUUGUCACCCAAGUAAUUAAUUAAACAUCUUAAUUCAUCAAUUAUAAAAGUAAUGCAUAUUUAUUCAUGCAUAUCUCUCUAAAUUUGAACUUACAUGUUGUUCACUGAAUAUUUGUGUAGGCUGGGCCAGCUGGUGUUCUCACUCACAAGGAGGUUUUCUCAUCCAUAUACAACACCCUGAAGCAUGUAUUCAAAUGUGAGUAUUCUCAUCUGAAGAUAAAUUAGUUCUUUGAGUGUUACAAAUAGUUAUAGCAUUGUGUUGUUAAUAUUGCCGACGAAGAGUAAUGAUUUGUAUAACCCUAACCAUACUUGCAAGUUUCGAUAAUCAUUCGGCAUGCGACAAAAGAACACAAAAGAGUACGUACCGAUUCGUGGUGGCUUUUCGAUCCAGAUCAUGAGAAGUAGAGAACGGCAAUAGUAAUUCUUCGAGAUAUAAUUUGUUUAGUUACUCGAAAGAUCAAAUGUGUUUUACUAGAUAGAAUAACACAAAAGAGUCAUUCUCGUUUGGAAAAAAGUUGGGGCGGUUGUGAUUAGAAGAGAGAAUAUCCAAUACAACCUUAAUGAAGAAAGAAAGAAAGAAAGAAAGAAAUAUCCAAUAAAAAAAAGUUUUUAAGUUUUUCACUUUUUAAACGAACUACAUUCCGAAAUAACAUUUCCGACUAAUUCCACCGACUUCAAAUCGCAAUCUUAAGAAACUAGCAAACCACGCUUCCGUACAUGUUCCACGCACCGCAGCAGACCCAAUUUUAGGUAACAAUUGAUCCUAUCUCUUUUCACCGUCACGAUGUAGAGAAAAAAUACAUAGAAGUGCUGUGAAUUUUUGUUUAAUAAUUUGCGCAGGAGUGAAUAAUUUAUUUGGCAAAUUAUCUGGCCAAUGUGUGGAAUCUUGUUACUAAGCCACUAAUGAUGCAGAUAUAAGAAGCUUUUUGCAUAGUAUAUAUUACUUACUAAGACAACCAAUAUCACCAACUAUGAGUUGCAGAUGUGCUUGCAUACACAGCUCAUGUUCCCUCUUUUGCUGAUACAUGGGGAUGGGUUAUGGUAAGUUAGCUAGUUCCACAAUACACAAAAUUGUUUAGAGAUUUACAUAAUCUGAAGAAUCAAUUAAUUGGUUUUUUUUCUUCUUUUUUUACCAGGCAUCUGAUCACCCAUUUACGCUUAACGCUGCGCAAAUUGAUGAAAGAAUCGAAGAUAGGAUCAACGGAGAACUGCUUUAUUUGAACGGCGACUCCCUCAUUUCCUCCACCACCAUGAACAAGAGUGUUCACCAAUCGUAAGUUUAUUCAUCUAUCAUUUUAGUUUUAAAUGAAGUACACAAGAUACAUUUACAUUUAUGUAGAUGGUAGAGAAAAGUUUCGGACAUACCGAAUUUGAUCAGCAUGGUAACAAGUUUCCCAGAUUUUUUUUUUUUUUUUUUUUUUUUGUAACAAAAAAUUUCUGUUCUUUAUUAUAUAACAUGAACUAAAGAUGGUACAAUAAAAGGGUUGGUUUGUUUUACCAUGCAGGUUGUUGAAGGAGACUCAUGUUUACACAGAGGAUGAUGCAAGAUUCAUCUAUGGACAUGGGAAGGCUUGUUAGGCUUAGUUUCUAUCUCUCUUUCUCUUUCUAGAAGAAGUUCAAUGAAAAACUUAAGAAGAAGAUCUAAUGUUGGCAUUCUUUACAUCUUUUACACAAGAACAGAAUAAAGAAAGUAAAAGUGUUGCUGACAAAGCCAUAUGAUAUGGAAACAGUGCAUUGUAAAAAUUAUGAUGAUAUGGUUUCUCUCCUCUCUUAUGUUUCAAAAGAAUGAUGAUGUGGCUCCUGCUCAUCUUGUUACAGGAUUUUUACCUUUCUCAAAUGAAUUAGUGGUUCGCGGGUUUGGAUGCAGGGUGCUUCAAAGCUGCCUUUUUUUUGAAAACUUUUUUUAAGUAUCAUUUUGAGGGUCUAGUUGAUGGAAAAGGUAUUGUGAGAUGCCACAGAUUGUUGGUGGUCAUUAUUCAUCAGGGAUCUCUUUCAUUAUGUAUGCAUAUAAAGUUGCGCCGGAAUACUAUUAAUAUAUAGUAUAAUACUAUCCACUUUGACGAUUGAGUUUUGAAAUCAACAUUCGGUACUGUGCUACCUAGAGCAAGUGGCAAAGGGUUUGGUGGUUGGUAUCCGAGACCCCAGUUCGAAUCCUAGUUGAUUCAUAUUUCUAGCUAAAUUUAUUUCUAAAUGAAAUAAACGAAACGAGCAUCGUGCUACCUAUCUCUUUCAAAAAAAUAAUAAUAAUAAUAAUAAUAAUAAUAAUCGGUACUGUUGAAUAUGAUCUAGAACACUUGAAGUAUCUAGAAAUUAAAUUUUAUAUUUUUUCGGCAUAACUGACAUAAUGAUCAAAGAAAUGCAAAAUUUAUAAUUUUAGUGAUUGUUGUGAGCCAUUUGCUAACAAUGUAAAAAAAUUUAAAUCAGUUAAAUUUUUGUUGUAAAGUUCUUUAAACUAUUUAAAACAAAAUAUAUACUGUUGAUGUUGAUUACAAAAAUCCUUCCAUCACUUUAGAACGGUAUUUAUCUUUAACUGUUCAUUUUUGUGCCCACUUGAUGCACAAAUAAAUAAUAUCGAAAAAAAUAUAAAUUUUGAUUUUUAAAUAUUUCAAAUAGCCUAGACGAUGCUGAUAGUCGACUUCGGAGGCUUCAUCAUCAAAAAUAAAUCGAUAGUAGUAAAACUUGUUUAUUACCAAUAAUAUUCUAGCUCAACACCAUAAAUAUAUUUAUGUGUUGAAUACGUGUAUGUUAUAUAUGUAUUUGCGCGUGUGUAUACGUAUAUAUCUAGCCAUCAUAUACAAUUUGGAGGACGACUGUGGUAAGUUCUUUAUUGCACCUGGUUACCACACUUCAAUCCUUUCAGUAGAACAAAGCCAAAACAUGCACAUGCAUGCAUGUAUAAGGCUACAUAAUAUAAGCAUGUUUAUAAUGCUAUAUAAUAUAAGCAUGUUUACUUGCAUUAUAUAUAGUUUAUCUUCCGAAUUAAGGUCGGUACUAAAGUAACUUAUGCGCAUAUAGAGAUCCUCAUCAGGGCCACAUAGUUAGAGACUCGUAGUCGAAUCAUACCUAUACCCAUUUUCCUUUUCUAAAUUACAUGAAGACGUAAAGUAAAUUAUAUUGAAAACCAUAUUCAUUUUGGUAUAGCCACAUAAAUAGGUGAGAUACAUUAGAUAUACCAACAAGAAGCUCAUGAGAAAAUUGCAGAAGAUUGGAUUGGAGAUGCUCACACUACUAGCAUGCAGGGAGAAGACGAUGUUAGAGUUCAUAUACAUAACAAUAGAUUGUACACAAGCGGGCUGUAUACGACAUCUCAUAGUUCGGUUCCUUCACCUUACAUAGAUCAUAGGAAUCCAGAACCACUUCCCUGUACAAUUUUCCCGCUAUGGCCCGAAAACUUGCUUGGCUUGAUUUCAAUUCCGGUUUGUGAGUGCAUCUCGGCGAGUUCUCGAACACGCAACAGGAUGGGCGUUGGAAUUGGUAUCGAUGUAUGUUUUCUGGAGAACUUGUCCUGCAAAUGUAUCCAAAAAUGGAAGAGAAAGGGAUCAGAAGUCAUUAAAAAAAAAUAUUCUGCAACUUAACAGCUGGAAAGUCGAGUACUAGGCACCUAUAAUUUUGAUGGAUAUGAUAUUGCAAAUUAAGAAGAUCCAUUUAUCCAAUUGCUACCAGUAAAUAGAGAUCAGUUGUUUUUUAGAGAUUGAAAAUAGGAUAAAAAUAAAGUUAAAGAAACAAUUGAAUAUCUCACCUCUUUCUCAUUAGGAACCUGCGACAAGCUUGCUCUAAGGAGAUUCCGCCACUUAUCCUGGAUACAGUAAAAACAUUGUCACAGCUUGCAUUAUUAACGCAUUAACGCAAUCACUAGAAAUACAAUAUGCAUUAGUGCCAAAAACUGAUUCGAGGAAAUAUUUAUGGUAGAAUGUAAGGAUAGUCCCAGUAGUGUUCCAAUGAGAAAAUAAAAAUAAUGUGAAAUAUUGAAAUCAGUAUGAUAAGAAAAUCAAUAUAUGAUCAAGCUCGCCUUGAGAUCAACAGAGGUGCGAUAUGAAUAUGAGGCAAAGGCUAGUCGCCUGAUCUCAGACCACCUUCCAGCCCCAAACUUGGCCACUCCCUCAACUAACUUGAGAACCUCGCAGAGCGUCCAAGCACGGUGGUGCUUUCUCUUUGGACCACCCUUCAGAGCUGGCCGAGCAUCAGCAUUAUCAUUUGUAUUUUCUUCGGCUGUGUCGAACUUAAAGGUAUCCAUACAUGACUCCUCCUCACUAUCGGGUUUUUGUGCAUUCUCUGUAUCUCUUUUCUUAUCAACAAUGCUCUGAACAGUCAGAAAUACCAUAUUAAAGCAUCAACUGACAAAUCAGCAUCCUAGUAAUCAGAACAAACUUAGGCCAUGCUGAAGUAGCAACUAACGAUAUUCGUGAAUUCUGAAUUACCAAGCAAUUUGGCAACACCAAAGUUGGUGAAUUGGAUGGAAGUCUAAUUUACUAUUCAUUGGUUCCCCUGUUUGCAGAUUUGUAAUUCAUGAUUUUUAGAGAUUAUAUUGAUUAUUUAGAUGGGUUUCAAAAAGUAUAAGCAAAUUGGAUGAUUUGACUUUCAAUUUGCUGUAUUUCAGCUUUCUCAAAGACGAGAAAAUUUAUCCAUCCAAAAAUACCCUUUUCUGAUUGCCAUGGAAUCUAAACAAGACUAUGUUUAAACAGGGAAACAAACAAUAGAACUCAAUCCAAUCAUACUCCAUUCCAAACAAUAUAUCUCCACCCCAAAGUCAAUUCACUUGAAUUUCUUGAAUUGCAUCGUAAAGAAAAACCAAUUGAAUUGCCAAGUAAUAUUCAAUUAAUCUUUAUUUGGUACCAAACAGAGUGAAACAUUAACUUAC
RNAcentral lists this long non-coding RNA (42862 nucleotides) under Ananas comosus (pineapple). Its description in RNAcentral is "long non-coding RNA (ACOM_LNC004072)". Lineage: Eukaryota; Viridiplantae; Streptophyta; Magnoliopsida; Poales; Bromeliaceae. The record is from RNAcentral.